GGUCAAGUGACUAAGCGCACACGGUGGAUGCCUUGGCAGUCAGAGGCGAUGAAGGACGUGGUAAUCUGCGAUAAGCCUGGGGAAGCUGAUAAACAAGCUGUGAUCCCAGGAUUUCCGAAUGGGGAAACCCACCGGUCAUAAGGCCGGUAUCCUUUACCUGAAUACAUAGGGUUUAGGAGGCGAACCCGGGGAACUGAAACAUCUAAGUACCCGGAGGAAAAGAAAUCAACCGAGAUUCCCCUAGUAGCGGCGAGCGAACGGGGAUUAGCCCUUAAGCGGUUUAGAGUUUAGUGGAACGCUCUGGAAAGUGCGGCCAUAGUGGGUGAUAGCCCCGUACACGAAAGACUCUUUAUCGUGAAAACGAGUAAGGCGGGACACGUGAUAUCCUGUUUGAACAUGGGGGGACCAUCCUCCAAGGCUAAAUACUACUGACUGACCGAUAGUGAACCAGUACCGUGAGGGAAAGGCGAAAAGAACCCCGUUGAGGGGAGUGAAAUAGACCCUGAAACCGUGUGCGUACAAGCAGUGGGAGCAGACUUGUUCUGUGACUGCGUACCUUUUGUAUAAUGGGUCAGCGACUUAAUUUCAGUAGCAAGCUUAACCGAGUAGGGUAGGCGUAGGGAAACCGAGUCUUAAUAGGGCGAACAGUUGCUGGGAUUAGACCCGAAACCGGGCGAUCUAUCCAUGGGCAGGUUGAAGGUGCCGUAACAGGUACUGGAGGACCGAACCGACUACCGUUGAAAAGUUAGCGGAUGACCUGUGGAUCGGAGUGAAAGGCUAAUCAAGCUCGGAGAUAGCUGGUUCUCCCCGAAAGCUAUUUAGGUAGCGCCUCAUAUAUUACCCACGGGGGUAGAGCACUGUGUCGGCUAGGGGGUCAUCCCGACUUACCAACCCGAUGCAAACUCCGAAUACCGUGGAGUACAGUAUGGGAGACAGACGGCGGGUGCUAACGUCCGUCGUCAAGAGGGAAACAACCCAGACCGCCAGCUAAGGUCCCUAAACAUGAUUAAGUGGGAAACGAUGUGGGAAGGCUAAAACAGCUAGGAGGUUGGCUUAGAAGCAGCCACCCUUUAAAGAAAGCGUAAUAGCUCACUAGUCGAGUCGGCCCGCGCGGAAGAUGUAACGGGGCUCAAAUCAUGUACCGAAGCUGCGGAUUCACGCUUAGGCGUGAGUGGUAGGGGAGCGUUCUGUAAGCCGUUGAAGGUGUGUUGAGAAGCAUGCUGGAGGUAUCAGAAGUGCGAAUGCUGACAUGAGUAACGACAAAGGGAGUGAGAGGCUCCCUCGCCGGAAGACCAAGGUUUUCUGCACAACGCUAAUCGGUGCAGAGUGAGUCGGCCCCUAAGGUGAGAGCGAAAGCUGUAAUCGAUGGGAAACGGGUUAAUAUUCCCGUACUUCUUGUGACUGCGAUGGAAUGACGGAGAAGGCUAGGCCAGCAGGGCGAUGGUUGUCCCUGUUUAAGGUGGUAGGCUGGGGAAGUAGGCAAAUCCGCUUCCCUAAGGCCGAGAGCUGAUGACGAGUCCUCUUUUGGACGAAGUGGUUGAUGCCAGGCUUCCAGGAAAAGUUUCUAAGCUUCAGGUCACAAGGAACCGUACCCCAAACCGACACAGGUGGUCAGGUAGAGAAUACCAAGGCGCUUGAGAGAACUCGGGUGAAGGAACUAGGCAAAAUGGUACCGUAACUUCGGGAGAAGGUACGCCGGCCAGGGUGAAGCACUUGCUGCGUAAGCCCCGGCUGGUCGAAGAAACCAGGUGGCUGCAACUGUUUAUUAAAAACAUAGCACUGUGCCAACACGAAAGUGGACGUAUACGGUGUGACGCCUGCCCGGUGCCGGAAGGUUAAUUGAUGGGGUUAGCUUCGGCGAAGCUCUUGAUCGAAGCCCCGGUAAACGGCGGCCGUAACUAUAACGGUCCUAAGGUAGCGAAAUUCCUUGUCGGGUAAGUUCCGACCUGCACGAAUGGCGUAAUGAUGGCCACGCUGUCUCCACCCGAGACUCAGUGAAAUUGAAAUCGCAGUGAAGAUGCUGUGUAUCCGCGGCUAGACGGAAAGACCCCGUGAACCUUUACUACAGCUUCACACUGGACCUUGAUGUUAUUUGUGUAGGAUAGCUGGGAGGCUUUGAAGCUCGGACGCCAGUUCGAGUGGAGCCAAUCUUGAAAUACCAGCCUGAUAACAUUGGGGUUCUAACUCCGCGCCAUAAUCUGGCGUGAGGACAGUGUGUGGUGGGUAGUUUGACUGGGGCGGUCUCCUCCCAAAGAGUAACGGAGGAGUACGAAGGUUGGCUAAGCACGGUCGGACAUCGUGCGGUUAGUAUAAUGGUACAAGCCAGCUUGACUGCGAGAGCUACAACUCGAGCAGGUACGAAAGUAGGUCAUAGUGAUCCGGUGGUUCUGUAUGGAAGGGCCAUCGCUCAACGGAUAAAAGGUACUCCGGGGAUAACAGGCUGAUACCGCCCAAGAGUUCACAUCGACGGCGGUGUUUGGCACCUCGAUGUCGGCUCAUCACAUCCUGGGGCUGAAGCCGGUCCCAAGGGUAUGGCUGUUCGCCAUUUAAAGUGGUACGCGAGCUGGGUUUAGAACGUCGUGAGACAGUUCGGUCCCUAUCUGCCGUGGACGUUGGAAGUUUGAGAAGAGCUGCUCCUAGUACGAGAGGACCGGAGUGGACGAACCACUGGUGUUCCGGUUGUUUCGCCAGAAGCAUUGCCGGGUAGCUACGUUCGGACGGGAUAACCGCUGAAAGCAUCUAAGCGGGAAGCCCCCUUCAAGAUGAGACUUCCCAGGGACUUGAUCCCCUGAAGAGCCGUUCAAGACCAGGACGUUGAUAGGCUGGGUGUGUAAGCGUUGUGAGGCGUUGAGCUAACCAGUACUAAUGACUCGUGCGGCUUGACCAU
Endozoicomonas sp. is the source of this 2887-nucleotide ribosomal RNA. It matches the Rfam family "Bacterial large subunit ribosomal RNA". The record is from Rfam. Lineage: Bacteria; Pseudomonadati; Pseudomonadota; Gammaproteobacteria; Oceanospirillales; Endozoicomonadaceae.